ACAAAAAUAAACAAUAACACAAGUAAAACCCAGUAUGUGGGUGGGUCCCACAGGGACCUGUGGUGGCGUCAACAGGAAGUGACACCAGGGGAGAGAGGGAGAGAGAGGUGUGGUUAGAAAGUUACACUUUACACGCCUAUCUAAGCGUUAGUCAGAUGCUAACAGCUAGCAAUUGAAGUAAAG
Molecule: long non-coding RNA, 183 nt
Organism: Sinocyclocheilus grahami
Lineage: Eukaryota; Metazoa; Chordata; Actinopteri; Cypriniformes; Cyprinidae
Exons: 3
Source: RefSeq, a predicted model, not a curated record